CAAAACAACUCGCUGACCUUCGGGCGGACCAGCUCCGGCUUCCACCGACUCCGGCAUUCCGUUGAAACCCGGCAGCGGCGGCUUCUAAGAUUUCACUCCGCGCUGGGCUGGGGGGAGGGGGUGAUUUCUCCGGGAGGGGGUGUCUCAGAUCGAAAGAGCCACUUCAUGCUCCUUCCUCUCCUCCGAAGUCGCUAGUUGGGCAACCUGAAAUGAGGACAAGUUUCACUUCAAGUUACCUGAAAGUGAACUUUCGCCUUUCCAAUUUGAUUCCUCCAACAUCUGUUGAAUGGCUCUCGGUCCUGGUCUGGAGGGACCAGCAGGACCCUGU
RNAcentral lists this long non-coding RNA (328 nucleotides) under Equus caballus (horse). RNAcentral's name for it is "lncRNA (ENSECAG00000029784.3)". The record is from RNAcentral. Lineage: Eukaryota; Metazoa; Chordata; Mammalia; Perissodactyla; Equidae.